GUGUUUUACAUAUCUGUUCCGUUUUAAAAAUAGGUAAAUGAUUAGAGCUUUGGCGCUGGGCAGACUUGGGACGAAACCCGAGCUGCGCUGUUCAUUUGCUGCUGCUGCUCACAGGGCCCGGGCAGGCUCCUUCCCCUUCUCUUCCUCCUCCACACACGGAGGACACAAACGGAACCGUCCUAGUGGGGUUUCCGAGACUGGGAGGGGGAAACAUCUGGCGGGGAAACAGCUGGAAUGACCGGAAGUAUCAGGACCAACUUGGCAACUGUUGAGUACGUGGAUGGAGAAAGAAUAUGUGAGGGCCCGGGAUGUGGCGCAGUGGCACCAUGCCUGCCUAGCAAGCGCCAGGUCUGGACUUUGAUCCCCGGAAGAGUGCGUGAAAGAACGACAUCAAUUUUUGUCUGACACCAGGGAGGACGCAUUCUUUUUCUCCUGAAAUUGAGACCUUUUUUCCAGUGCUGAGCCCACACGCUAGGCAAGCCCAGCCACUGAAGAUUGUGACUUGGGUGCCCACGCUCUUAUCACAGCAGAGGCGUGGAUGGGAAGGGAGAGGAACAGCGGUCGGACAGACCAUUUGUGACCUGAUGCCUCCCGGUGGACAAAGGAGCGAGCCAUCAGCGUCUGCACUAUUUCCAGUUCCGGUGGAAGCGAAACGACUUACAUGUGCAUAAAAUGGAGAGGAGAUUCCGCGUUAUGCUAAGUCGAAGCCUGAUAACAGUUUUAGCUGCACGCAGAAUUCUGCAUGGUUUCAGAAUUUACUGAAAGGGUUCACGUGUGCUGCUGGACGCUAUCAGAACCUCACAGAACAGCAGCUCCCCUCGAUGCUGGAGUCACCUUAAAUCUCAGACUGCGCGAAAAUGAGAACGCUAUUUGCCAAAACAAAAACAAAGAGAAUAAUUGUGCAUUAAGGUCAAACCUAGUAAUAGCGUCCUUCGCGUUUAUCUG
Molecule: long non-coding RNA, 945 nt
Filed under: Heterocephalus glaber (naked mole-rat)
Lineage: Eukaryota; Metazoa; Chordata; Mammalia; Rodentia; Bathyergidae
Description: lncRNA (ENSHGLG00100050932.1)
Source: RNAcentral